Molecule: transfer RNA, 76 nt
Filed under: Sphaerodactylus townsendi
Lineage: Eukaryota; Metazoa; Chordata; Lepidosauria; Squamata; Sphaerodactylidae
Description: tRNA-Ala
Rfam family: tRNA
About the family: Transfer RNA (tRNA) molecules are approximately 80 nucleotides in length. Their secondary structure includes four short double-helical elements and three loops (D, anti-codon, and T loops). Further hydrogen bonds mediate the characteristic L-shaped molecular structure. tRNAs have two regions of fundamental functional importance: the anti-codon, which is responsible for specific mRNA codon recognition, and the 3' end, to which the tRNAs corresponding amino acid is attached (by aminoacyl-tRNA synthetases). tRNAs cope with the degeneracy of the genetic code in two manners: having more than one tRNA (with a specific anti-codon) for a particular amino acid; and 'wobble' base-pairing, i.e. permitting non-standard base-pairing at the 3rd anti-codon position.
Source: RNAcentral
GGGGGCAUAGCUCAAUGGUAGUUCACCUAUCUGCUUUGCAUACAGAAGGUCCCAGGUUCGAUUCCUGGUAUCCUCA